Molecule: long non-coding RNA, 251 nt
Organism: Telopea speciosissima
Lineage: Eukaryota; Viridiplantae; Streptophyta; Magnoliopsida; Proteales; Proteaceae
Exons: 3
Source: RefSeq, a predicted model, not a curated record
AACAACUUUAUAUGAUGGAAGAUUUAGAUCUUAUUUUCUAGAAUGAUUUACCCUACAAUUAUUGUCUUGCAGAUAAUUAAUAGCCAAAUUGCUAUGGGGCCAAACUGUUCUAUUAAUUGGCGCAUCAUAGUUAUUGCUGAUGUGGAGUUUCCCAUGGAAAGAUCACAUCUCUUGCAUUGUAAUUACAAGUGCUACAGUAAGGAUGUGUGCGCAAAUUGGAUCAACGAUUUACCAGAAAAUUAUAAGGUUUG